GAGGGGUGCAAACGUUAUUCGGAUUGACUGGGGCGUAAAGGGGUGUGUAGACGGCAUAUUAAGUUCGUUGUUAAAUCUUCCGGCCUAACCGGAAGCUCGCGAUGGGAAACUGAUAUACUUGAGGAUGGAAGAGAGAAGUGGAAUUCUCGGAGUAGCGGUAAAAUGCGUAGAUCUCGAGAGGAACACCGAUGGCGAAAGCAGCUUCUUGGUCCACUCCUGACGUUGAGACACGAAAGCAUGGGUAGCAAACAGGAUUAGAUACCCUGGUAGUCCAUGCUGUAAACGAUGAUCACUGGAUGUCAGCUUCGCUCUGCGAAGUUGGUAUCGAAGCUAACGCGUUAAGUGAUCCGCCUGGGAAGUACGGUCGCAAGAUUA
This 375-nucleotide ribosomal RNA is filed under the name uncultured organism. RNAcentral describes it as "partial 16S ribosomal RNA". It matches the Rfam family "Bacterial small subunit ribosomal RNA", at positions 527 to 896 of the family's 1533-position model. The record is from RNAcentral.